Long non-coding RNA from Zonotrichia leucophrys gambelii, 483 nucleotides. RefSeq lists it as uncharacterized. Lineage: Eukaryota; Metazoa; Chordata; Aves; Passeriformes; Passerellidae. The record is from RefSeq and is a predicted model, not a curated record. The transcript is spliced from 3 exons.
AAAAAAAAUAACACAGAGAGAACCAAGCCUGAGAGGUUUCAUGAGAAAUACCUGCAGCAGGAAGAAUGUGACUGUGAUGCAGACCCAACUAAAGGAAGAAGAUGACAGUGGUUAUAUCCAGCUAAGGAAAAUCUGUGAACUAUGCUGCCUGCAGAUUAAUCUGAGGGAAGAGACUCUGGAAAAAAGGACUCACAUGAUUUGGGAUUUGGGAUGACAAGUGGUCCAAGAAUGUUUGCUGUAGAUACACGGACAUGCACUUCUUGAGUACAGUGGAACAUGGAUAACAUGGAUACAGUUCAGCUUAGAAUUCAACAGUAAGGAAGCAUUUGAAGCCAAUGAGUUUGUACAUGGAACAAAGGAGGAACCAGUAAAGUCCAUGUGAGAGGAUCUUUCAUACCCAGUCUAGUGCACUAACAAGGAAUAUAUAUAUUUUUAUUACUUAAAAGAGCUAUUUGUCGGGAAAAUAUUUCUUGAUUUCUUUUG